UACAGGGGGGGCAAGCGUUGUUCGGAAUUACUGGGCGUAAAGGGUCUGUAGGUGGCUUGCUAAGUCAGACGUGAAAUCCCUCAGCUUAACUGGGGAACUGCGUCUGAUACUGGCAAGCUUGAGUGCAGGAGAGGAACGCGGAAUUCCUGGUGUAGCGGUGAAAUGCGUAGAUAUCAGGAGGAACACCUGUGGUGUAGACGGCUCUCUGGACAGUAACUGACGCUGAGACACGAAAGCGUGGGUAGCAAACAGG
Molecule: ribosomal RNA, 253 nt
Filed under: uncultured bacterium
Lineage: Bacteria
Description: partial 16S ribosomal RNA
Rfam family: Bacterial small subunit ribosomal RNA
Source: RNAcentral